This 47-nucleotide small RNA is filed under the name Sinorhizobium meliloti 2011. RNAcentral's name for it is "putative ncRNA". Lineage: Bacteria; Pseudomonadati; Pseudomonadota; Alphaproteobacteria; Hyphomicrobiales; Rhizobiaceae. The record is from RNAcentral.
CUGCACCUGAUUGGCAUAGGCGGCCUUUUCGGCCGUUGCUUCGACGU